Molecule: ribosomal RNA, 468 nt
Filed under: uncultured bacterium
Lineage: Bacteria
Description: partial 16S ribosomal RNA
Rfam family: Bacterial small subunit ribosomal RNA
Source: RNAcentral
GACGAACGCUGGCGGUGUGCUUAACACAUGCAAGUCGAACGGAAAGGCCCUGCUUUUGUGGGGUGCUCGAGUGGCGAACGGGUGAGUAACACGUGAGUAACCUGCCCUUGACUUUGGGAUAACUUCAGGAAACUGGGGCUAAUACCGGAUAGGAGCUCCUGCUGCGUGGUGGGGGUUGGAAAGUUUCGGCGGUUGGGGAUGGACUCGCGGCUUAUCAGCUUGUUGGUGGGGUAGUGGCUUACCAAGGCUUUGACGGGUAGCCGGCCUGAGAGGGUGACCGGCCACAUUGGGACUGAGAUACGGCCCAGACUCCUACGGGAGGCAGCAGUGGGGAAUAUUGCACAAUGGGCGGAAGCCUGAUGCAGCAACGCCGCGUGCGGGAUGACGGCCUUCGGGUUGUAAACCGCUUUCGCCUGUGACGAAGCGUGAGUGACGGUAAUGGGUAAAGAAGCACCGGCUAACUACGUG